Molecule: ribosomal RNA, 414 nt
Filed under: uncultured bacterium
Lineage: Bacteria
Description: bacterial SSU rRNA
Rfam family: Bacterial small subunit ribosomal RNA
Source: RNAcentral
GAUCCAGCAUGCCGGUGAUGAUGAAGGCCUUAGGGUUGAAAGUUCUUUCCCGGGAAGAUAAUGACGGUAUCCGGAGAAGAAGCCCCGGUAACUUCGUGCCAGCAGCCCGGAAUACGAAGGGGGCUAGCGUUGUUCGGAAUUACUGGGCGUAAAGCGCACGUAGGCGGACAUUUAAGUCAGGGGUGAAAUCCCAGAGCUCAACUCUGGAACUGCCUUUGAUACUGGGUGUCUUGAGUGUGGAAGAGGUGAGUGGAAUUCCGAGUGUAGAGGUGAAAUUCGUAGAUAUUCGGAGGAACACCAGUGGCGAAGGCGGCUCACUGGUCCGGUACUGACGCUGAGGUCGAAAGCGUGGGGAGCAAACAGGAUUAGAUCCCUGUAGUCCACGCCGUAAACUAUGAGAGCUACCGUUGGCGG